AAUAAAAUGCCUGAUAAAGGGUUAUCUUGAUAGGAUAAAUCAUGUAAUAGUUAUUACUUUUAUUA
RNAcentral lists this transfer RNA (65 nucleotides) under Ornithodoros zumpti. Its description in RNAcentral is "tRNA-Ile". Lineage: Eukaryota; Metazoa; Arthropoda; Arachnida; Ixodida; Argasidae. The record is from RNAcentral.